RNAcentral lists this long non-coding RNA (273 nucleotides) under Physcomitrium patens. RNAcentral's name for it is "long non-coding RNA (PPAT_LNC012188)". The record is from RNAcentral. Lineage: Eukaryota; Viridiplantae; Streptophyta; Bryopsida; Funariales; Funariaceae.
AUUUGGUUAAGAUUUAUUCAGGAUUUGAUUAGGAUUUGAUUAGAAUUUGUUAGAAUUUGAUUAAGAUUUGGUUAAGAUUUGUUAGGAUCUGACUAGGAUUUAGUUAGAAUUUGUUUAGAACUUCACUAGGAUUUAUUUAGAAUUUGGUUAGGAUUUAUUUAGAGUUUUUUUAGGAUUUAUUUAGAUUUUAUUUAAGAUUUGACUAGGAUUUAUUUAGGAUUUGGUUAAGGUUUGUUUAGGAUUUGACUAAGAAAUUGAUUAGGAUUUUUUAGG